Molecule: ribosomal RNA, 953 nt
Filed under: Halobacillus sp. 64 JDE-2009
Lineage: Bacteria; Bacillati; Bacillota; Bacilli; Caryophanales; Bacillaceae
Description: bacterial SSU rRNA
Rfam family: Bacterial small subunit ribosomal RNA
Source: RNAcentral
GNACUGGCGGCGUGCCUAAUACAUGCAAGUUCGAGCGCAGGAAGCAGGCGGCAUCCCCUUCGGYUGGUGUAAGCCUGNUGGAAAUGAGCGGCGGACGGGUGUAGUAACACUCUGGGCAACCUGCCUGUAAGAUCGGAAUAACUCCGGGAAACCGGGGCUAAUGCCGGGUAAUCCUUUAUCUCGCAUGAGAGGAAGGUAAAAGAUGGCUUCUAGCUAUCACUUACAGAUGGGCCCGCGGCGCAUUASCUAGUUGGUGAGGUAACGGCUCACCAAGGCGACGAUGCGUAGCCGACCUGAGAGGGUGAUCGGCCACACUGGGACUGAGACACGGCCCAGACUCCUACGGGAGGCAGCAGUAGGGAAUCUUCCGCAAUGGACGAAAGUCUGACGGAGCAACGCCGCGUGAACGAUGAAGGUCUUCGGAUCGUAAAGUUCUGUUGUUAGGGAAGAACAUGUACCGUUCAAACAGGGCGGUACCUUGACGGUACCUAACGAGGAAGCCCCGGCUAACUACGUGCCAGCAGCCGCGGUAAUACGUAGGGGGCAAGCGUUGUCCGGAAUUAUUGGGCGUAAAGCGCGCGCAGGCGGUUCCUUAAGUCUGAUGUGAAAGCCCACGGCUCAACCGUGGAGGGUCAUUGGAAACUGGGGAACUUGAGGACAGAAGAGGAGAGUGGAAUUCCACGUGUAGCGGUGAAAUGCGUAGAUAUGUGGAGGAACACCAGUGGCGAAGGCGACUCUCUGGUCUGUUUCUGACGCUGAGGUGCGAAAGCGUGGGUAGCAAACAGGAUUAGAUACCCUGGUAGUCCACGCCGUAAACGAUGAGUGCUAGGUGUUAGGGGGCUUCCACCCCUUAGUGCUGAAGUUAACGCAUUAAGCACUCCGCCUGGGGAGUACGGCCGCAAGGCUGAAACUCAAAGGAAUUGACGGGGGCCCGCACAAGCGGUGAGCAUUGU